This 194-nucleotide ribosomal RNA is filed under the name uncultured Bacillus sp. RNAcentral's name for it is "partial 16S ribosomal RNA". It matches the Rfam family "Bacterial small subunit ribosomal RNA", at positions 338 to 524 of the family's 1533-position model. The record is from RNAcentral. Lineage: Bacteria; Bacillati; Bacillota; Bacilli; Caryophanales; Bacillaceae.
CCUACGGGAGGCAGCAGUAGGGCAUCUUCCGCAAUGGACGAAAGUCUGACGGAGCAACGCCGCGUGAGCGAAGAAGGCCUUCGGGUCGUAAAGCUCUGUUGUUAGGGAAGAACAAGUACGAGAGUAACUGCUCGUACCUUGACGGUACCUAACCAGAAAGCCACGGCUAACUACGUGCCAGCAGCCGCGGUAAU